RNAcentral lists this long non-coding RNA (2091 nucleotides) under Sus scrofa (pig). Its description in RNAcentral is "lncRNA (ENSSSCG00055005970.1)". Lineage: Eukaryota; Metazoa; Chordata; Mammalia; Artiodactyla; Suidae. The record is from RNAcentral.
CACCUUGGCUGUGAAACGGGGUGUGUGUGGAGGGCUGGUGGGGAGGGGGCAGCCUGCGGGCGGGGACGUGGAGACGCGCAGGCUGGGGGCGGCGCAGGCGGGCUGAGGGGUCCUGGGCUCGCCAGGGCCUCGUCUGGGGUUAUGACUCCCGCGGGAAGCACGACUGCUUCGGAGAGUUCUCCACCGCCUUCGAGGAGAUGCAGAAAGCCUUUGGGGAGAACCAGGUGAGCGGGCCCUCCCUGCCCUGCCUGUGGGCGAGCCGGAAGCGCUGGCCCUGGGCUGGGCUGUCCCAGAAGCUGUGAUGGCUUUAGAGAGAAGACCGGUGACGACGGCGGAGAAUGAUACCCGCUGGCCCAGCAGGGGGCUGGGGUCGGGACCCCAGGCCUGUGUGGAAGCUGGAGAAACGCCCUCCAGGGCGAGGGAUUUCAGGCUCCCCCCCGGCCCCAAGGGUGGGUGUUGGGCGGUGGCGCUCGGGAUGGGGGUCUCUGCCUGUCCCUGUCCCCCCGGCCCAGUGGGACUGUGUGAACCCCAAGUACAAGCAGAAGAGGCGCAGUUACACGAACUCGGGCGUGGCCUUGCUGGCCGACCCGAAGGUGGCCGUUGACUUCACCCUCGGAACAGCUGCUCCCUCCACUAUAUCAACUCCUUCCAGCCCAGCGAGUACCUGCAGGCCCUGGUGGCCGUGGGCGAGAUCUGCCAGGACUAUGACAGGUGCGCUGGCCUCCCCACCCCGGGCGCACCCCCGCUGUCCCCCUCACCUUCACACAGACCCGGGCUUCCGAGUCCCACUGCACAGACCAGUAAACUGGGGCUGUCGGGGCCAAGCUCCCACACCGGUGGCUCUGCCCCUUGUCUGCGCGCAUGCUGGGCAGCUCCUUUGUGGCUUUUUGCCUCAGUUUCCCCCAUGUGGCUCAGGGUGGGGCCUGGCCCCCCCAAAAGGGUCAGCCUGGUCUCCUGGUUCUGUUGAUGUCUCCCCCCCACCCCAUCCCCAGGAGACCAGGGCCCUGGGUGAUGGGGCCACCUCUCUUUCAGCGACAAGAGGCUCUCUGCUUUGGGGUUUGGAGCCCAGAUCCCUCCCAAGGAUGAGGUAGGAGGCCUGGGUCCCGGGACCCGCUGGUUGCUGCCUCCCCCCUCCCCUGGGAGCCAGCUACCGUGUGAUGGGCAGUAGACAGGGUUCAGGGACCAGCCUCUGGCCAGAGGUCUGACCUUUGACCUCCCAGCACCAGCCCAGUGAUCCUAGGGCUGAAGAUAAGCCCUGUGGCCCUGUCCGGAGAAGGGGGACAUUAGUCCAGAAUCCUCCAGUGAGAAGGGAUUUUAGCUGGCUUAAGCAGGAACUUGGUGGGGUUUAUCAGCUAAUGAAACUCAGAAGCUUCAGGUCUGGCUGGAUCCAGGGCUGGAGCGAUGCCCUAGCACUAGUCUGUCUGUCCACCCUCUGUCCCCAGUGACUCCCGCCCAUGGGAGCUCCAAACCUGCUUCCCCCAGUGGGUCAGGAUCGACUGGCUGACCGGUCCUUUCUGUGCCCGCCCAGGUGUCCCAUGACUUUGCCAUCAAUUUCAACCUGGAGGACGGUGAGUGUGAAGGUAGGAGCUCCAGGUGCCUGGGCUGGGGGUGGGGUGGCAGCGAGGCCGGCUCAUGCCCUUCCCCCCGCAGGCAUCCAGGGCAUGGUGGAGGCGUCCCAGAACUGCCUGCCCAGGGUCCAGCUGUAUGGCCACCACGUGGCUCCCAUCAUCUCCAAGGUGGCCUGCACGGCUGCAGCUGAGGAACGCAGCGGAGAGGCUCCUGUAGGUGGUGGGCGGGCACUGCGGGGACCGCGUGCCUUAGAAGGUGUGCCUGCUGCUGGGGAGGUGGGACCGGAUGGGGGUUUGCAGAGGUUGACAGAGCAGCCCGCGGGAGGCCCUGAGGCAGGGAGCGAGAGGCAGCUGGGUGGCAGUGGGGCUGAGAGACCAGGAGGCCCCAGAGCCAGUGGGGUAAGGUGAAUUCUUGCCCUGGAGGCUGACUUGCCGAGCCCGCAGGCAGCCCGAUGCUUAUGGUUCUCUUGGUCCAAUUGUGUAUACGUCGUUAUUUUUUUUUUUUUUUUUUUUUUUUUUUUUU